This 514-nucleotide ribosomal RNA is filed under the name uncultured bacterium. Its description in RNAcentral is "partial 16S ribosomal RNA". It matches the Rfam family "Bacterial small subunit ribosomal RNA", at positions 28 to 523 of the family's 1533-position model. The record is from RNAcentral.
GAUGAACGCUGGCGGCGUGCCUAUACAUGCAAGUCGAGCGAAUGGAUUAAGAGCUUGCUCUUAUGAAGUUAGCGGCGGACGGGUGAGUAACACGUGGGUAACCUGCCCAUAAGACUGGGAUAACUCCGGGAAACCGGGGCUAAUACCGGAUAACAUUUUGAACCGCAUGGUUCGAAAUUGAAAGGCGGCUUCGGCUGUCACUUAUGGAUGGACCCGCGUCGCAUUAGCUAGUUGGUGAGGUAACGGCGCACAAAGGCAACGAUGCGUAGCCGACCUGAGAGGGUGGUCGGCCCCACAUGGACUGAGCCACGGCCCAACCUCCUACAGGAGGCAGCGGUAGGGAAACUUCCGAAAUGGACGAAAGUCUGACGGAGCAACGCCGCGUGAGUGAUGAAGGCUUUCGGGUCGUAAAACUCUGUUGUUAGGGAAGAACAAGUGCUAGUUGAAUAAGCUGGCACCUUGACGGUACCUAACCAGAAAGCCACGGCUAACUACGUGCCAGCCGCCGCCGUAA